UACGGAGGGUGCAAGCGUUGUUCGGAAUUACUGGGCGUAAAGCGCGUGCAGGCGGUUUGGUAAGUCAGGCGUGAAAGCCCUGGGCUCAACCCAGGAAGUGCGUUUGAAACUACCAUACUUGAGUAUGGGAGAGGAGAGUGGAAUUCCCAGUGUAGAGGUGAAAUUCGUAGAUAUUGGGAGGAACACCCGUGGCGAAGGCGACUCUCUGGACCAAUACUGACGCUGAGACGCGAAAGCGUGGGUAGCAAACAGGAUUAGAUACCCCAGUA
This 269-nucleotide ribosomal RNA is filed under the name uncultured prokaryote. Its description in RNAcentral is "partial 16S ribosomal RNA". It matches the Rfam family "Bacterial small subunit ribosomal RNA", at positions 524 to 792 of the family's 1533-position model. The record is from RNAcentral.